Molecule: small RNA, 1994 nt
Filed under: Pongo abelii (Sumatran orangutan)
Lineage: Eukaryota; Metazoa; Chordata; Mammalia; Primates; Hominidae
Description: processed transcript
Source: RNAcentral
CAGAAGAUGCUGGAGAAACUCGAGUUUGAACGGCGCCUGGAACUGGGGCAGCGGGAGCACGCCCAGCUCCUUCAGCAGAGCAGCAGCCAGAAGGAUGAGAUCCUUCAGACGGUCAAGGAGGAGCAGUCCCGGCUAGAGCAGGGCCUGAGUGAGCGCCAGCGCCAGCUCGACGCAGAGCGGCAGCGGCUGCAGGAACAGCUGAAGCAGACGGAACAGAACAUCUCCAGCCGGAUCCAGAAGCUGUUGCGGGACAAUCAGAGACAAAAGAAAAGCUCCGAGAUUUUGAAAUCGCUGGAAAAUGAAAGAAUAAGAAUGGAACAGUUGAUGUCCAUAACCCAGGAGGAGACUGAGAACCUGCGGCGACGUGAGGUUGCCUCCGCCAUGCAGCAGAUGCUGACUGAGAGCUGUAAGAACCGGCUCAUCCAGAUGGCCUACGAAUCUCAGAGGCAGAACUUGGUCCAGCAGGCCUGUUCCAGGUAAGCAUGGCCGAAAUGGAUGAACGAUUCCAGCAGAUUCUGUCGUGGCAGCAAAUGGAUCAGAACAAAGCCAUCAGCCAGAUCCUGCAGGAGAGCACGAUGCAGAAGGCUGCGUUCGAGGCACUCCAGGUGAAGAAAGACCUGAUGCAUCGGCAGAUCAGGAGCCAGAUUAAGCUAAUAGAAACUGAGUUAUUGCAGCUGACACAGCUGGAGUUAAAGAGGAAGUCCCUGGACACAGAGACACUCCAGGAGAUGAUCUCGGAGCAGCGCUGGGCCCUCAGCUCCCUGCUCCAGCAGCUGCUCAAAGAGAAGCAGCAGCGAGAGGAAGAGCUCCGGGAAAUCCUGACGGAGUUAGAAGCCAAAAGUGAAACCAGGCAGGAAAAUUACUGGCUGAUUCAGUAUCAACGGCUUUUGAACCAGAAGCCCUUGUCCUUGAAGCUGCAAGAAGAGGGGAUGGAGCGCCAGCUGGUGGCCCUCCUGGAGGAGCUGUCGGCUGAGCACUACCUGCCCAUCUUCGCGCACCACCGCCUCUCACUGGACCUGCUGAGCCAAAUGAGCCCCAGGGACCUGGCCAAGGUGGGUGUCUCAGAAGCUGGCCUGCAGCACGAGAUCCUCCGGAGAGUCCAGGAACUGCUGGAUGCAGCCAGGAUCCAGCCAGAGCUGAAACCACCAAUGGGUGAGGUCGUCACCCCUACGGCCCCCCAGGAGCCUCCUGAGUCUGUGAGGCCAUCCGCUCCCCCUGCAGAGCUGGAGGUGCAGGCCUCAGAGUGUGUCGUGUGCCUGGAACAGGAGGCCCAGAUGAUCUUCCUCAACUGUGGCCACGUCUGCUGCUGCCAGCAGUGCUGCCAGCCACUGCGCACCUGCCCGCUGUGCCGCCAGGACAUCGCCCAGCGCCUCCGGAUCUACCACAGCAGCUGAGUGCUGCCCGCCCACCUGGGCCUGGUCCUAGCCCUGCCUCGGCCACUGUGAGCCCCGGGCUCCUGCUCAGCCUUGCGCCAGCCAGACUCGUAUGAGGUUCCCCCCUGCCCUGGGCCCCUUCCCCGCCACCCAGGAGCCCCCAUCCUAAGCUCCAAGCACGUCUGGGCCAGGCAGAGGCGCUCCUGAUCCAUGACACCACCAGUCUGAAUGGUCCCGGGGGCUGGGGCUGGAGAGGCCGCUGCACCACCACCCGAGCCUGGGAGCCAGGGUCCCAGCCUAAUCACGGAUCUGCUGCCUCCCAGCUGUCUUGACUGAAGGCCACCGCCCCUGCAGGAGCUUGGGUCCUCAUCUGGGGGCCAUGCACAGUCCUGUCCCACUCUGCAUGUGGGAAGGGAGCAGGAGGGCCUGGCUGGGUGAGGGGAGGCCUUCCUGGGAAGGCGUGUGGUGGAGGCCUGUGCUCACAGUGGCACCAGCACCCCUGGGCCUCCCUCUCUGCUGCUCCCCAGAACCCUGGGGCCCUCCUGCUCUCCACAACUGUCCCUCCUUACCCCGUGUAGCUCGAUCCGAAGCAGGAGUGUCAGUAAACCUGUCUUCAGCGUG